GAAUGGUCAGAGUGCAGUGGUGUUUACAACUAAUUGAUCACAACCAGUUACAGAUUUCUUUGUUCCUUCUCCACUCCCACUGCUUCACUUGACUAGCCUUAA
This 102-nucleotide Y RNA is filed under the name Saimiri boliviensis boliviensis (Bolivian squirrel monkey). Its description in RNAcentral is "Y RNA (ENSSBOG00000006363.1)". It matches the Rfam family "Y RNA". From Rfam's summary of the family: Y RNAs are components of the Ro ribonucleoprotein particle (Ro RNP), in association with Ro60 and La proteins. Lineage: Eukaryota; Metazoa; Chordata; Mammalia; Primates; Cebidae. The record is from Rfam by way of RNAcentral.